Molecule: long non-coding RNA, 723 nt
Organism: Populus euphratica (Euphrates poplar)
Lineage: Eukaryota; Viridiplantae; Streptophyta; Magnoliopsida; Malpighiales; Salicaceae
Exons: 3
Source: RefSeq, a predicted model, not a curated record
UUGGGUUCCGAAGCUGCAUCACUUACAUUAGAAUGGGCAGAUAGUUUCUCUGUGAAGCCCACGUAUGUCGCAAUGAUGUGUGGAAUAUAAGGAGAGUGCUGCGCUGCGCAGGCAUUCUAUGUGGUCAAGUUGAACUGUUGAUCUUCUUUUGGUAAUUUUGAUUGGCUCGGCACUCUUAGUUCAUGCUGAAUCUGUUUGCUUAUGGAUUUUGACCUUUGCCAAUGGCAUUACCAAUGAGUUGUUGCGCUCAGGUUGAGUGUGGUUGAUUGGAGUACCAGCAGGUUUCAAGUUGAAUACAGAACUGGCAGGAGUUCUUGGCGUGAUUUCUCUAAAUGCAAUACAAAUAUGGCCUACCCUUUGGAUCUUAAUUGAUUUCCUCUUCAUUUAUUUCAUCAAGGGACUUGGUCUACUGGGGAUUCUUUUUGGAGCAACCAUUCCUUCUGCUUUGAUCAUAGAUAUGGUUUCCCUAGCAACAUUGCACGUGUCAACUCUUCACUGGGCAGUCUCAGUCUUGUAUUCCCGGCAAAUACAAGCUUUAUCAGCUCUGUGAUAUCCUUUCAGGGGUCGAAAGUGGAAUCCUCUUCGUCGGAGAUUAGAUAGCUUUGACUACACAGUGAGGCAGCAUAUUGUGGGUUCCCUUCUGUUCACUCCGCUUUUACUUCUGUUUACCAACUUCUGUUUUCUAUAUUUUCUUCACCAUUUUGAGCACAGCCAUUGCGCUCA